GCUUGUCUCAAAGAUUAAGCCAUGCAUGUCUAAGUGUAAAUAAGUCUAUACUGUGAAACUGCGAAUGGCUCAUUAAAUCAGUUAUCGUUUAUUUGAUGAUCUCUUACUACUUGGAUAACCGUAGUAAUUCUAGAGCUAAUACAUGCAUCAAACCCCGACUUCUGGAAGGGGUGUAUUUAUUAGAUGGAAACCAAUGCAGGGCAACCUGGAAUAUGGUGAUUCAUAAUAACUCGCGGAUCGGUUUACCGAUGCAUCAUUCAAGUUUCUGCCCUAUCAGCUUUGGAUGGUAGGGUAUUGGCCUACCAUGGCUUUAACGGGUAACGGAGAAUUAGGGUUCGAUUCCGGAGAGGGAGCCUGAGAAACGGCUACCACAUCCAAGGAAGGCAGC
RNAcentral lists this ribosomal RNA (388 nucleotides) under uncultured Chrysophyceae. RNAcentral describes it as "partial small subunit ribosomal RNA". It matches the Rfam family "Eukaryotic small subunit ribosomal RNA", at positions 30 to 429 of the family's 1831-position model. The record is from RNAcentral. Lineage: Eukaryota; Chrysophyceae.